UACAGAGGUCUCAAGCGUUGUUCGGAUUCAUUGGGCGUAAAGGGCGCGUAGGCGGCGCGGUAAGUCGGGUGUGAAAUCUCGGGGCUUAACUCCGAAACUGCAUUCGAUACUGCCGUGCUUGAGGACUGGAGAGGAGACUGGAAUUUACGGUGUAGCGGUGAAAUGCGUAGAUAUCGUGAGGAAGACCAGUGGCGAAGGCGGCUAUCUGGACAGAGUCUGACGCUGAGGCGCGAAAGCUAGGGGAGCAAACAGG
RNAcentral lists this ribosomal RNA (253 nucleotides) under uncultured bacterium. Its description in RNAcentral is "partial 16S ribosomal RNA". It matches the Rfam family "Bacterial small subunit ribosomal RNA", at positions 524 to 776 of the family's 1533-position model. The record is from RNAcentral.